This is a non-coding RNA of Lonchura striata (white-rumped munia), 428 nucleotides long. The record is from RefSeq and is a predicted model, not a curated record. Lineage: Eukaryota; Metazoa; Chordata; Aves; Passeriformes; Estrildidae.
CUGUUCUCUUGUUUAUCAGAUGGUUGCUUCAGGAAGUGGUCAUCAAACUUUAUUUCAUCUCUUGGUGUAAAUGUUGAAACAUUCCAGAAACUGGAACAACAUCACAUCAGUCUCUUUCCCUGCUCUUUGGUUACCAGUUGUUCUUCACACAUCUACAGGAAGGUCUGAGACUGCCUGUUGGCUUCUCUCAGAGGAAUGUUCUGAAUGGAGCUUGCUGUCAACACAGCUUUCAAGACAAAGAAGGUGUUGCUCUUGAUGACAGCAAUGGGGUCCCAAGGGAAGAAGCAAUGUUCCUAGACAUACUGGAGGACUGUUUCCUUACAAGACUCCCUUUCAAUAUGAACCUACAGAACUUUGACUGAUGUGAAAUAACUUACUCUCUGCCUAAAGUCACCUUGCCACCUGGAAUCACAAUGUGGUCAAGGAGA